RNAcentral lists this unclassified non-coding RNA (336 nucleotides) under soil metagenome. RNAcentral describes it as "partial contains 5.8S ribosomal RNA, internal transcribed spacer 2, and large subunit ribosomal RNA". The stretch from base 1 to 120 matches the Rfam family "5.8S ribosomal RNA", at positions 35 to 154 of the family's 154-position model. The record is from RNAcentral.
GAUGAAGAACGUAGCGAAAUGCGAUAAGUAAUGUGAAUUGCAGAAUUCAGUGAAUCAUCGAAUCUUUGAACGCACAUUGCGCCCGCCAGUAUUCUGGCGGGCAUGCCUGUUCGAGCGUCAUUUCAACCAUCAAGCCCCCGGCUUGUGUUGGGGACCUGCGGCUGCCGCAGGCCCUGAAAAGCAGUGGCGGGCUCGCUGUCACACCGAGCGUAGUAGCAUACAUCUCGCUCUCGGCGUGCUGCGGGUUCCGGCCGUUAAACCACCUUCAUAACCCAAGGUUGACCUCGGAUCAGGUAGGAAGACCCGCUGAACUUAAGCAUAUCAAUAAGCGGAGGA